This 460-nucleotide ribosomal RNA is filed under the name uncultured bacterium. RNAcentral's name for it is "partial 16S ribosomal RNA". It matches the Rfam family "Bacterial small subunit ribosomal RNA", at positions 338 to 795 of the family's 1533-position model. The record is from RNAcentral.
CCUACGGGAGGCAGCAGUGAGGAAUAUUGGUCAAUGGCCGGAAGGCUGAACCAGCCAUGCCGCGUGAAGGGCAGGGACCUAUGGGCGUUAAACUUCUUUUGUGCGGGAGCAAUAAUGGUCACGUGUGGCCAGACGAGAGUACCGUACGAAUAAGCAUCGGCUAACUCCGUGCCAGCAGCCGCGGUAAUACGGGGGAUGCAAGCGUUAUCCGGAUUUAUUGGGGUUAAAGGGUGCGUAGGCUGUGAGGUAAGUCAGCGGUGAAAUGCCCCCGCUCAACGGGGUGAAGUGCCAUUGAUACUGCCUUGCUGGAAUGCGGAUGCCGUGGGAGGAAUGUGUGGUGUAGCGGUGAAAUGCAUAGAUAUCACACAGAACACCGAUUGCGAAGGCAUCUCACGAAUCCGCGAUUGACGCUGAUGCACGAAAGCGUGGGUAUCAAACAGGAUUAGAUACCCCAGUAGUC